RNAcentral lists this small RNA (128 nucleotides) under Klebsiella aerogenes. Its description in RNAcentral is "RtT sRNA". It matches the Rfam family "RtT RNA". Rfam says of the family: This family represents a bacterial cis-regulatory element known as RtT RNA. The exact function of RtT is unknown although it is thought that it may be involved in changing the cellular response in relation to amino acid starvation. The record is from RNAcentral. Lineage: Bacteria; Pseudomonadati; Pseudomonadota; Gammaproteobacteria; Enterobacterales; Enterobacteriaceae.
UUAUAUUCUCCGUUGGGGGGGAUGAGAACCCCCGACCGGGGUUCGACAACUGGCGCAGCCAGUUGGACAGACCGCGCGGGCUGCCCCGCAGGGGCGAGCGAAGCGAGUCAAUCCCCCCCUCACCGCCA